AGAGUUGAUCCUGGCUUAGGAUGAACGCUGGCGGCGUGCCUAACACAUCAAGUCGAACGGAGAAGGGGGCUUCGGUCCCCUGAUCAGUGGCGGACGGGUGAGUAACGCGUGAGCAACCUGCCUUUGUGUGGGGAAUAACACAGGGAAACUUGUGCUAAUACCGCAUAACGCAUCGACGUAGCAUUACGAUGAUGCCAAAGAUUUAUUGCACGAAGAUGGGCUCGCGUCUGAUUAGAUAGUUGGUGAGGUAACGGCCCACCAAGUCUGCGAUCAGUAGCCGGACUGAGAGGUUGAACGGCCACAUUGGAACUGAGAGACGGUCCAGACUCCUACGGGAGGCAGCAGUGGGGAAUAUUGGGCAAUGGGCGAAAGCCCUGACCCAGCGACGCCGCGUGAAGGAAGAAGGCCUUCGGGUUGUAAACUUCAGUCAACAGGGAAGAAGAAAGUGACGGUACCUGUGGAGGAAGCCACGGCUAACUACGUGCCAGCCGCGGC
Molecule: ribosomal RNA, 495 nt
Filed under: uncultured bacterium
Lineage: Bacteria
Description: bacterial SSU rRNA
Rfam family: Bacterial small subunit ribosomal RNA
Source: RNAcentral